AGUGCUGGUGGAAGGAACCAGAACCGUACUUCUGAACAGUUAACGGAACAGAGGGAACUGAGGAAAACUUCUGAUGUCACAGUCAGGUACAAGACCCAGGUGGCGUCCUGUGAAGAACGUGAAGCCAUACCACACGCAGAAAAAAGUUGACAACCCCACAAGUAAAGAAGAAAGUACACAGACGUGAACUAUGCAGAGAUUAUAACUCAUACCUGCAAUCUCUUGUUUUCAUUGCUAAAACUGUGAACUUUAGGUUUUGUCACUUUAAAGAGUAUGAAAAAAGAGACUAUCAUAAAGCUCUUUUGGCAAAUAAUCCUCACAUUCUUAUUUUAAAGAAGGCACGAAGUACCUUUGUGCCUCAUCAUUAGGUGAUGUUCAAACAAGAUUGAGAAAAUAUAAAAGAAUAUUUGUAGAAAUCAUUUAAAAAAUUAAAAUUUAAGAAAAGAAUCUUUUGCCAAAGGAUAGCUUUAAAGAAACAUGACGUUUAAUCAGA
Corvus hawaiiensis (hawaiian crow) is the source of this 493-nucleotide long non-coding RNA. RefSeq lists it as uncharacterized. Lineage: Eukaryota; Metazoa; Chordata; Aves; Passeriformes; Corvidae. The transcript has 2 exons. The record is from RefSeq and is a predicted model, not a curated record.